CAGUGGAAUCAGCAGAGAGGAAGGCUGUCCUCUGCCACUCAUAUUCACAAAUGGACAGGUUACAAGGAAAGUGGGAUCUCAUAAUCAGAAGCAGCAAAAUGCACUCGGUGCCCGAGGAACAGAGUGAAAGCUCAAGCUGUUCAUGCCUUACAUCUCUAAGAAGCCAAAUCCAGACCAAGUAAUCCACAGCAAACUGAACUCAUUGGCAAUGUCGAAACAAGAACCGCAGCCCUCCCACGCAGGAAACAACAAAAAAGGCCUUGACGCGAGCUGAGGACAUCCUAACCACACCCUGGAGGUGGCAAGUCCAUCCAAAUUGUUACCAGGAGAUUAAUAAAAACCACAUAUGAAAUUGA
Long non-coding RNA from Protobothrops mucrosquamatus (brown spotted pit viper), 356 nucleotides. RefSeq lists it as uncharacterized. The record is from RefSeq and is a predicted model, not a curated record. The transcript is spliced from 3 exons. Lineage: Eukaryota; Metazoa; Chordata; Lepidosauria; Squamata; Viperidae.